This 376-nucleotide ribosomal RNA is filed under the name uncultured bacterium. Its description in RNAcentral is "bacterial SSU rRNA". It matches the Rfam family "Bacterial small subunit ribosomal RNA", at positions 524 to 898 of the family's 1533-position model. The record is from RNAcentral.
UACAGAGGGUGCAAGCGUUAAUCGGAGUUACUGGGCGUAAAGGGCGCGUAGGCGGUUUUGUAAGUAAGGUGUGAAAUCCCUGGGCUUAACCUAGGAAUUGCAUUUUAAACUACAAGGCUAGAGGACAGUAGAGGGUGGUGGAAUUUCCGGUGUAGCGGUGAAAUGCGUAGAGAUCGGAAGGAACAUCAGUGGCGAAGGCGACCACCUGGACUGUAACUGACGCUGAGGCGCGAAAGCGUGGGGAUCAAACAGGAUUAGAUACCCUGGUAGUCCACGCUGUAAACGAUGAGAACUAGAUGUUGGUUCGCGCGAGCGGAUUGGUAUCGAAGCUAACGCGAUAAGUUCUCCGCCUGGGGAGUACGACCGCAAGGUUAAA